GAUGAAGAACGCAGCGAAAUGCGAUAAGUAGUGUGAAUUGCAGAAUUCAGUGAAUCAUCGAAUCUUUGAACGCACCUUGCGCCCUUUGGCUAUUCCGAAGGGCAUGCCUGUUUGAGUAUCAUGAACACCUCAACUCUCAUGGUCUGCCAUGAUGAGCUUGGACUUUGGGGGUCUUGCUGGCCUACUGUCAGCUCCUCUCAAAUGAAUCAGCUUACCAGUGUUUGGUGGCACCACAGGUGUGAUAACUAUCUACGCUUGUGGUUUUCUGCCAGGUAACCUCCAGUGAUGGAGGUUCGCUGGAGCUCACAAAUGUCUCUCCUCAGCGAGGACAGCUUUUUGAACGUUUGAUCUCAAAUCAGGUAGGACUACCCGCUGAACUUAAGCAUAUCAAUAAGCGGAGGA
Molecule: unclassified non-coding RNA, 402 nt
Filed under: soil metagenome
Description: partial contains 5.8S ribosomal RNA, internal transcribed spacer 2, and large subunit ribosomal RNA
Rfam family: 5.8S ribosomal RNA (bases 1-121)
Source: RNAcentral